AAACUUUAGAGAGUCUGCAGAUUUCUUUUGAGUAUUUGAGAACCUGAAAUAUGAGAUCCUAGACUAGAGAGAGAUUUUCAGGAACUUGAGAGAUUUUCUUCAAAAAGAGAUUGUUCCAUUGGUCCUUACUGUUGAUUUCUGAAGUUAAAACAACAUUUGGUUAGCUUGGUUGAAACAAAUUGAAAUCAAGUCUAUUUUUGUUUUCUGGUUCAUAACUGAUUCAAAGCUGUGGACUACUGCUCUUUUAGCUGUUGAUUCUGCAUACUACUGUUGCUCAAGCUAACCUCCUAUUUCUUUUACUUUGUUUCUUCCACAUCCAGGUAUCAAUUUUAGCUUCUCCAUGAUGUGGCUCUCGACUUGGAAUGAAAUAAAUGCUAUGAUGAUUUGUUCUUCUUUUUUUGUGUUCAUUCAUUUGGUUCAGUGUAGUUCGAGUAACUCUUAAGAUAAGUCUUCACAUUGUAACUAAUUAAAGACAACUGAAAUGUAUUAUUCCUUUAUUUUAGC
This 504-nucleotide long non-coding RNA is filed under the name Nicotiana benthamiana. RNAcentral describes it as "long non-coding RNA (NBEN_LNC040103)". The record is from RNAcentral. Lineage: Eukaryota; Viridiplantae; Streptophyta; Magnoliopsida; Solanales; Solanaceae.